RNAcentral lists this ribosomal RNA (119 nucleotides) under Pteropus alecto (black flying fox). The record is from RNAcentral. Lineage: Eukaryota; Metazoa; Chordata; Mammalia; Chiroptera; Pteropodidae.
GUCUAUGGCCAUGCUACCCUGAACAAGACCGAUCUGGUCUGACCUUGGAAGCUAAGCAGGGUCAGGCCUGGUUAGUACUUGGAUAGGAGACCACCUAGGAAGACCAUGUGCCGUAGGCA